Sarcophilus harrisii (Tasmanian devil) is the source of this 4251-nucleotide long non-coding RNA. Lineage: Eukaryota; Metazoa; Chordata; Mammalia; Dasyuromorphia; Dasyuridae. The record is from Ensembl.
CCUUGUAAGGCUGCCCUGGCAUCUUGUUGGACUAGAUAAGCGCUGCAAUAGGCAGCGGCUACAGCCAGAGGACCACUGAGAUAGCGAGGGUUCCGCAGGCCCCUGGUGCCAACGGAAUAAGCGGACUUCAGGGGUAGGGUCUGCGGCUCUCCUCUGGUCUGACUCCUGCGCUAGAGACGGCUCGGUAACUCCAGAACCUCGAGUGCGAAGCGUAUUGAGGUGCCUGCCCCAGCAUUUCAUAAAUUGAAGAAUUGGGUUUCAAAUGUGAUGGUUCUGAUGACAUCAUUGGUGAAAAUAGACUGUUAUAGAAGAGCUGAAAUGAGGAAUCCAAAAUGGCUAAACAAGAGGUUAUGGCUGAGCUCAUCUCCUCAACUUCACCUCAAAAUGGAAAUAACUGUGCCUUAGUAAAAGAGAACAACCUAAAAAGGCAAAAAAAAUCAUCUUAAAAAAUAAAAUGUAACAAAAAAGAAAUGACCAGCAGGAUCAUUUCAGAAAGGCCUGGAGAGACUUACAUGAACUGAUGCUGAGUGAAAUGAGCAGGACCAGGAGAUUACUUCAACAACAAUACUAUAUGAUGAUCAAUUCUGAUAGACGUGGCCAUUUUCAACAAUGAGAUGAACCAAAUCAGUUCCAAUGGAGCAGUAAUGAACUGAACCAUUUACACCCAGGGAAAGAACUCUGGGAAAUGAGUGUGAACCACUACAUAGAAUUCCCAAUCCCUCUAUUUUUGUCCACCUGCAUUUUUUAUUUCCUUCACAGGUUAAUUGUAUAUUAUUUCAAAGUCUGAUUCUUCUUGUGCAGCAAAAUAACUAUAUGGACAUGUAUACAUAUAUUGUAUUUAACUUAUACUUUAACAUAUUUAACAUGUAUGGGUCUACCUGCCAUCUGGGGGAAGGCAUGAAAGGACGGAGGGGAAAAAAUGGAACAAAAAGUUUUGUAGUUGUCAUUGCUGACAAAUUACCCAUGCAUCUAUCUUGCAAAUGAAAAGCUAUAAUAAAAAAAAUCUUAAUAAAAUUCCUUUCUGCUUUUUACCUUGAAAAAAAAAAACUAACUAGAGUAUAUUGAAUUUGCCUGUAAGACAAUCUCAAUCCAAAAUGCAAAGACUUGUAUACAGCACAAUUAGCAUAGAAUAAUCAUAUAGGUUUCAGGGUAGGACAAUGGGGUAAAAUUGAUUUGUCAAGAUCUCUGUCACUGAGUAUAAAAAGUAAUCUGGCACAAAAACAUCUUUUACCCAAUUUAAGGUUUGGGGUUUCUUCUAGAAUGGAGCAUAAUAUGAUGUGGGGUGGGGUAGGGUUAGGCUGUUUCUCAGAACAGAUUACACAUGAUAUCAUGGCACAUUCAAUUUUGGGUUUCUUGCAUUCCAAACUCUAAUGGGAGACUGUAGACAUAUAUAUGUGAAUAAAAUGAAAUAAUUCUCAAAAUGGAGUAGCUCUGGAUUCACACCUUUCCCCUCCUUUAUGUUAUAUAAACACAGCAUCCAGACUAAACUAAGGAGCAAGGAUCAAAUUCUUUUUUCUCAUGUUUCAUAUUGUAUUUGAGCUUUUCACAUUGUUUCUCCAAAACAGAUGACAAUUAUUUAAACACACUUGAGUGUGAUACCUGAUUCCUUGUUAAUCAUAAGUAGUAAAUAUUAGAUUCAUGUAUUCUAAGGUUUUUUGGUAAAUAGUAUUUUAUUUUUUCCAAUUAAAUGUAAAGAUAGUUUUCAACAUUCAACAUUUUCUUCCAAAUUUUUCUUUCUUCCCUCCUCUCUCCUCAAGACAGCAAGCAAUCUGAUAAAAGUUAUACAUGUGAAAUCAUGGAAACAAAUUUCUAUAUUAGUCACACUGUGACAUUUCACUUCAUGUAAGUCUUUCCAGGUUUUUCUGAAAUCUAUCUGCUCAUCAUUUCUUAUAGAACUAUUGUGCUUACAUUUAUAUACCACAAUUUGUUCAGCCAUUCCCAAAUUGAAGGGCAUCCCCUCAAUUUCCAAUUCUUUGCCAUCACAAAAGGAAUUACUACAAACAUUUUUUGUACAUAUGGGUCCUUUUCUACAGAAUGGUUGAAUCAGUUCACAACUUAUGGAUCAAAUUCUUACAAAUGAGCUGAAGUGACUGAAUGAUUAGGGUAAAAAAGGGAUAAUGGCCUUGUAGGAGACAGGGUCAAGAGACUGAUUUGAAGAAGUAUAAGGAAUGGUCAGAAGUGCUCUUGGAGGUAACAAUUUCCAAGCAUCUAACAAUCAUAAAGAAGUCAGGGAUCCUAAGGUUCAAGAGCACAAAGACGCUUUUUAGUUUCAGGAGGGUAUAAAUCAAAGUACUUACACUUUUACUAGGAAACAAGUACAUUGUGUGAAUAUUACAAAAAGAAACAAAUCAUAAUGCCAUGUUUCCUUUAUUGCCAUAAAAGCUGAAUAAACUUAGGUAACUAAUCAUAGUCUCAUGCAUUCCUUAAGCAGACAAACAUCAUUAAGCAGAAUCUGUAAAUUAAAUUACAAAUUGAACUACUAAUUUAGAGGGUUCACAAUGGAUUGAUUGAGUGGAGACUGAUAAAAUACCAGUUAACUAAGGUAGUUUACAAAUAAGUAAAUUACUUUAGUAAACUCAAACUUCCUUUUAGCUUCUUGAAGAAUAAUAAAGUUAGCAUUAUUUUCAUAAAUCAAGUUUUGGUCAGAUGAAAUUAAUGUAAACAUAAGACAGGCUUUUAGUUGAUCACAAAUUGCAGGAAGAAUGGCCCUGAUUUCUGAACAAUAAAUAAGAGGAAUUUGAGCAUACUCCUCUUGCAGGCAAACAUAAACACUAUGAAACAUUAAAAUAAAGUAAUGCAAUAAUGAUCAUCAGUAUUAAAUAACAUCAAAUCUCCUUGUUCCUGGUUAACUCAUUCCCAGUGUACAUAUGAUAAGAAAAGUCAUUUUGAGUUGCAGCUGUCCCCUGUAGUCUUCUGGACCCUGAAAACAUCUUCCCUGGGAAAUUAUGGAAUAGGUUUCCUUCCCAGGGCAGCUUCUCCUUCUAAUAGAUUUACUUUUCUGGUUCUAGGUAACUUGUAGAGAGUCCCUAUUUAAUACUGCUAAAAUCUAACAAUAACAAGACUCAAUUUAGUAUAACAUCAUAAAUUUGGUUUUCAGUAACUAGUUCAUAUGGUGAAAAUUAGUUCAGACUUUAUAGAGCUAAUCCUACUAACAACAGAGCUAUAGGACAUCAAAUUAGGAAUUCAUAAUUCACCUGAAACUUUAGAGAAUUUCAGCUUUUAGAUCCCACUUGUUCUUACUAUCUUUAUCUGAACCUUAUACAUAUUAUGGACAAAGCCAUCAACAGGCUGAAAGAAGAAUUUUGAAAAGGAUCUGUGAGGGCCUGAUUUGGAAAAAUGAGCACCUCUGUCUCUUAAUAUUAUUAGAGAGAAUCUUCAAAGCAGGAAAAAAAUGUGAUUUUAAAAUAUUUUUAUAUUUAUUAAUGUAAUUUUUCAUAUGAAAUUCUUAAUCUAAUUUUGAGAAUUUAUUGCUAGAACAUACUCAAAGUCUGUAUAUCCCAUUUGAAACAUUUAGAAGCCAAUCAUAUCGAUAUCCUUGUUCUCAGAAAAAAAGAAUAAUUUUGUUGCUUCCUCUGAGUUUACUACAUUAAAAUUUUAAAAUCUUAUUUUUACAUGUUUAUCAUAUCCCUCUCUUUUGAGGAUAUAUACUAUUAUCAUAUCAUACUGAAAGAAUGAGAUUCUUUAAGGACCCAACCUUACAUUGAAUAUACAACUAUUACAAAGGAAUGGAAGCCUAAGAACUCAUUCACUCAGUCAUUUAGAAUAUGGAGAUGAUCACAAAUUCAGGAGAAAAAUAGUAAAAUUUUUCAUACUUGCAUUCUGCUUUAGCAACUCAGAAAUAUUUCAUAUUUAUUAAGUAAUAGAUUUAGUAUUACAAUGACAAAAAUUUCAAAGACAAUUUCCUGUCUUGAUUAUAGACAUUUUCUAUAAAAGAAAAAAGGAAAGACAUGGUUUUAACAAUGUCAAGACUGACCUACCACAGGCACAAGAUGACUGAAAAAAGUGCAGUAGGGGAGAAAAUUAAAAUCCAAUAGCUCUAUUUUACUCCAGGUAAAAAUUCAUAGUUAGCAACCAAUCAUACAGAAAGAUUCCACAUUAUUCACAGAAUAAAAAUGUAAAAAGGAAAGAGAAAUCAUAAGAGAUUCAAGGAGGUUAAACUGUUUAUAUUUUUAUAUGGAAAAUGACAUUUAUAAUUCUUAAAAAAUUUCUUAUUAUUAGAGCAGUUAGAGUAUACAUAGACACAAAGCAGAG